GCCAAUUGUUGGCUGGCGGUUUCCGCUUCCUGGCUGUUGGUGGCGGCCGGGUAUCGACGGAUUUGCUGGCUCGGGGCCGGGCGGCUGGUU
RNAcentral lists this transfer RNA (90 nucleotides) under Marinobacter nauticus. Its description in RNAcentral is "Marinobacter hydrocarbonoclasticus tRNA-Thr". Lineage: Bacteria; Pseudomonadati; Pseudomonadota; Gammaproteobacteria; Pseudomonadales; Marinobacteraceae. The record is from RNAcentral. RNAcentral also lists the same sequence under 1 other name.